AAUUUCAAAGCAAUGGCGCGCCGCUCCGCUGCUCCACUUGAAAAACGGGCGUUCAUUGAAGGACCGCGGGGCGCGCGCCGGCGGCGCGACCACUGGGGUCCAGCGCGGCGGGGGCGCUGCUCGAGCGCGGGACCAGGUGCCGGGGUCAUAUCAGAGCCCUUCCCAAUGGUAGUACUCCAGGAGGACUACGGAGUUUAGCGCAUGUAAUCGAUGAAAUCGUUCACUUUGCUGUUUGCCUUUCACGGUAUCGUCCUGAAUUUCUCUUUCCUUCAGUCCUAUUUUCAUCUCUGGAGUAGUAACCAGAUCAGGAGGAGAUAUUAAAAGUAUUGUGAUUCAACUGUUA
Sorex araneus (European shrew) is the source of this 343-nucleotide long non-coding RNA. RefSeq lists it as uncharacterized. The transcript has 3 exons. NCBI's taxonomy places the organism in Eukaryota, Metazoa, Chordata, Mammalia, Eulipotyphla, Soricidae. The record is from RefSeq and is a predicted model, not a curated record.